This 45-nucleotide non-coding RNA is filed under the name Echinostoma caproni. Lineage: Eukaryota; Metazoa; Platyhelminthes; Trematoda; Plagiorchiida; Echinostomatidae. The record is from RNAcentral.
GUACUGCUGACGAGUCCCAAACAGGACGAAACAGAUGUUCAGUGC